AAAUGAACUUUCAGGGUGAGCAACAC
This 26-nucleotide non-coding RNA is filed under the name Cricetulus griseus (Chinese hamster). The record is from RNAcentral. Lineage: Eukaryota; Metazoa; Chordata; Mammalia; Rodentia; Cricetidae.